Molecule: unclassified non-coding RNA, 227 nt
Filed under: Hevea brasiliensis (rubber tree)
Lineage: Eukaryota; Viridiplantae; Streptophyta; Magnoliopsida; Malpighiales; Euphorbiaceae
Source: RNAcentral
GGCGAGCACACACCCACAAAACCACUCUUAUUGGAACCACCACCACCGGAUGCCCCAAUACUUAAGUUCCUAAUCUGGGUGCUUAGCAGUCUCAUCUCAUAUAAAGUCUCUUUUACAUCUGAUGUUUGAUGUAGUGGCAAAAUGGUAUCAAUAUACCUACGAAUGGACUCAUCCAACUUAACAAGUUUCUUGGCAUAAAAAGCCUUCUUGACAUAGUUGUAUCGAUG